UGAGCAAUCUGCCCUUCUCAUCGGAAUAAGCGUUGGAAACGACGUCUAAUGCCGAAUACGACCUCCUUUCGCAUGAUCGGAGGUGGAAAGCUCCGGCGGAGAAGGAUGAGCUCGCGGCCUAUCAGCUAGUUGGUGCGGGUAAUGGCCCACCAAGGCGACGACGGGUAGCCGGCCUGAGAGGGUGACCGGCCACACUGGGACUGAGACACGGCCCAGACUCCUACGGUAGCAG
Molecule: ribosomal RNA, 232 nt
Filed under: uncultured bacterium
Lineage: Bacteria
Description: partial 16S ribosomal RNA
Rfam family: Bacterial small subunit ribosomal RNA
Source: RNAcentral